GCCUGCCGGGCUCCUAGCAGCGGCCCUGCCCAUGCCCCGCUUCUCGGUGCCGGCGCGGGGGCGGCUGCUCGAAACCCCCCGGAGAGGCGCGCGCGGGGUGGCGGCUCUCGGCGCGGCCGGGGCUGAGCUUCAGAGCGCCAUGUCGGGCUCCGGCAGGAGGAGGAGCAGGAGGAG
Molecule: long non-coding RNA, 174 nt
Organism: Oxyura jamaicensis (ruddy duck)
Lineage: Eukaryota; Metazoa; Chordata; Aves; Anseriformes; Anatidae
Exons: 3
Source: RefSeq, a predicted model, not a curated record